AAACCAGCACCUCAAGUGGUCAGGAUGAUUAUUGGGCCUAAAGCAUCCGUAGCCGGCUCUGUAAGUUUUCGGUUAAAUCUGUACGCUUAACGUACAGGCCGCCGGGAAUACUGCAGAGCUAGGGAGUGGGAGAGGUAGACGGUACUCGGGAGGAAGUGGUAAAAUGCUUUGAUCUCUCGAUGACCACCUGUGGCGAAGGCGGUCUACCAGAACACGUCCGACGGUGAGGGAUGAAAGCUGGGGGAGCAAACCGGAUUAGAAACCCCUGUAGUCC
Molecule: ribosomal RNA, 274 nt
Filed under: uncultured bacterium
Lineage: Bacteria
Description: partial 16S ribosomal RNA
Rfam family: Archaeal small subunit ribosomal RNA
Source: RNAcentral